RNAcentral lists this unclassified non-coding RNA (762 nucleotides) under soil metagenome. RNAcentral's name for it is "partial contains internal transcribed spacer 1, 5.8S ribosomal RNA, and internal transcribed spacer 2". The stretch from base 148 to 301 matches the Rfam family "5.8S ribosomal RNA". The record is from RNAcentral.
CCGAGUUUACACUCCCAACCCCUGUGAACAUACCAAAUUGUUGCCUCGGCGGAUCAGCCCGCUGCCCGGUAAAACGGGAGCGGCCCGCCAGAGGACCCCUAAACUCUGUUUCUAUAUGUAGCUUCUGAGUAAACCAUAAAUAAAUCAAACUUUCAACAACGGAUCUCUUGGUUCUGGCAUCGAUGAAGAACGCAGCAAAAUGCGAUAAGUAAUGUGAAUUGCAGAAUUCAGUGAAUCAUCGAAUCUUUGAACGCACAUUGCGCCCGCCAGUAUUCUGGCGGGCAUGCCUGUUCGAGCGUCAUUUACAACCCUCAAGCCCCCGGGUUUGGUGUUGGGGAUCGGCGAGCCCUUGCGGCACGCCGGCCCGAAAUCUAGUGGCGGUCUCGCUGCAGCUUCCAUUGCGUAGUAGCAAAACCCUCGCAACUGGUACGCGGCGCGGCCAAGCCGUUUAAAACCCCCAACUUCUGAAUGUUGACCUCGGAUCAUGUAGGAAUACCCGCUGAACUUAAGCAUAUCAAUAAGCGGAGGAAUCGCGAUCUUGGUCAUUUAGAGGAAGUAAAAGUCCGUAACAAGGUUUCCGUAGGUGAAACUCUGCGGAAGGAUCACUAGUGAUUAAAUCGAGCGUGGUCUUCAUUGACCGCUCACCCUUCUCACCAUCCACAUACCCCUGUGCACUGUUUAGCCUGAGCCGGUUUUCCGGUCCAGGUUAUCAUUUCAUACAAACUCUAGUCUUAUGAAUGUAAACGUUUUAAUAACAUAAUA